GCAGAAUACGUGACAUGUAUCAUAGACAAGGCAGCCGACACCCUGAGACAGGAGUUACCUAGCAACACAACGACCGUAACAGUGAGACCAGCAGACGACAACAUUUCACUGUCCUCUAGUAUCAUCAGCCGAAUUGCUGAUAUGGUUGUCACGGAGAGUCUGUCAAAUAUUGUGAUAGAUGCCGACAUUAACCAAUCUGCAACAAGAGCUCCUAGAACUAUCAAAGAAUAUAAGGAAGCAUUUGGCAUAACCGGAUAUGACGUCAUUGAUGACGGCCUUCCACCCGUAAGCGUGUAAGAGUACAAGAAGAGGAAAGAAACAACGCGUGUGGUUUUUGAUUGUUUGUUUUUGUUUGUUUACUUGUUUUGUUGUUGUUUGUUAUUUGUGUUUUAAUUUUCCUUCGUACUGUUGUGUGAGUGUGUGUGUCCUUUUUUGUCAUUUUUGUGUGUUAUGUUUUGUUUUUGUUUUGCUUUGCUUUGCUUUGCUUGUUUGUUUUUCAUGUUUUUCGUUAGUGUACAUGUUCUGCUUAAGCAUCGAAUUAAUUUCUUAUAUAUUAUUGUCAUAAAAA
This is a long non-coding RNA of Ruditapes philippinarum (Manila clam), 568 nucleotides long. RefSeq lists it as uncharacterized. Lineage: Eukaryota; Metazoa; Mollusca; Bivalvia; Venerida; Veneridae. The record is from RefSeq and is a predicted model, not a curated record. The transcript is spliced from 4 exons.